UAUGGCCAUACCAUCCUGAAGAGCCCGAUCUUGUCUGAUCUCGGAAACUAAGCAGGGUUGGGCCUGGUUAGUACUUGGAUGGGAAAUGCAAUAAACUUAAAUAGCCAAAAUAA
Molecule: ribosomal RNA, 113 nt
Filed under: Neogale vison (American mink)
Lineage: Eukaryota; Metazoa; Chordata; Mammalia; Carnivora; Mustelidae
Source: RNAcentral